AUUGAACGCUGGCGGCAGGCCUAACACAUGCAAGUCGAGCGGAUGAAGGGAGCUUGCUCCUGGAUUCAGCGGCGGACGGGUGAGUAAUGCCUAAGAAUCUGCCUGGUAGUGGGGGAUAACGUCCGGAAACGGGCGCUAAUACCGCAUACGUCCUGAGGGAGAAAGUGGGGGAUCUUCGGACCUCACGCUAUCAGAUGAGCCUAGGUCGGAUUAGCUAGUUGGUGGGGUAAAGGCCUACCAAGGCGACGAUCCGUAACUGGUCUGAGAGGAUGAUCAGUCACACUGGAACUUAGACACGGUCCAGACUCCUACGGGAGGCAGCAGUGGGGAAUAUUGGACAAUGGGCGAAAGCCUGAUCCAGCCAUGCCGCGUGUGUUAAGAAGGUCUUCGGAUUGUAAAGCACUUUAAGUUGGGAGGAAGGGCAGUAAGUUAAUACCUUGCUGUUUUGACGUUACCAACAGAAUAAGCACCGGCUAACUUCGUG
Molecule: ribosomal RNA, 484 nt
Filed under: uncultured bacterium
Lineage: Bacteria
Description: partial 16S ribosomal RNA
Rfam family: Bacterial small subunit ribosomal RNA
Source: RNAcentral